Carya illinoinensis is the source of this 1597-nucleotide long non-coding RNA. RefSeq lists it as uncharacterized. The record is from RefSeq and is a predicted model, not a curated record. The transcript has 3 exons. Lineage: Eukaryota; Viridiplantae; Streptophyta; Magnoliopsida; Fagales; Juglandaceae.
CUUAAUUGUUAACAGGAAUAUCACAUACUUAAAUUCUUUAAAAAUAAAAUGCUUAUUUGGUAGAAUUAGCAUCCCAGAGGUUUAAUGUCCAUGAUCGAGUGUGACUCACGUGCUGGCUUGUCAUGUUUUGGAAUAUUUUUACAUAUCUACUGGAAUUCUUAAUCGCAGCAACAUCAAGAUGAACUGCGACUGAUCUCCACAAUUAUAGCCUCAUCAAUUGAUUGUGAUUGGACAUAUCAAGUUUAAUCAACACUUUCUAUGGUUCAAAAGACUGAUGCAACCUGUUGCAACUUCCAACUGCUAUCUGAAAAAUGGAUGUGCAAGUUGAAGGAGUACAAGAAGUUCUAAAGCAAGCAGGGAUGGAUGGCAUUUCUCAUUGCAAAUAAUUGGCUCUAAUUCUCAGAGAGGUGGGCCAAGCUCACAAACAUUAGAUUGCGCUCUUCAAACCCCAUAUAUUUGCUGUUUUCACAAUGGCUGGAUCAUGGAUUCCUUCUCUGCCUCAACAUACUCUUCUAAAAUUGCAGCACCUAGUUGUUGUUGGCAUGCCAAGUCUUUCUUCAUGUUUAGGAUGCCAAUGCUUAUAAGAGCUGUCAAGAAGGUGCUUAAAAAUAGGUCGGUUCACGUGGAGUCUAGGGUCCCGAGCAUACGAGAGAUUUUUUUAAAUAUUGGAAGACUCCCCGUUAUACUUUGAGUGAGAGUAUCAUUACUUUUUGCAAGAAGCCAGCUUCCUCCAUAAACUCUAAUGCAGCUAUACAUACUUAGCUGUCAGAACAUGAGGAAAUUGGUUUAGGAGAAGGAUGAUAAUACCAACAACAGUUGCAGCAACACCUCAUCUCUUCUUGAGCAAUUGUACAUCCAAGAUUGUCCAUCCCUUGAAUCCUUAACAUCAAGAAGAGAAUUAUCUGUAACACUUUGAAACCUCCGUAUUUUCAGUUGUCGAAAGUUGGAGUCAGUAGCGAAGAGUUUUCAUCAUAACUCUUAUAUAGUUAGAUAAUAUGAUAUAUGGCUAGUUUUGAUUCUUAUAAGCAUCGGAGUAGUUCUAGUACGAACUCUCUCCCUAAGCAUUAAACACUACUGUUUAUAUUGGUUCCUCAGCAAGUAAAGGGUGUAUUAUUAAUGUACAACAGAAUACUCAACACUUUUCUGGUAAGUUGGGAUUGGGGAAUUGCUCUUUGUUGAGUGGUCUUGCAAUGAUUCUUUUACCUAAAUAUUCUAGUAAAAAAAGGCUUGCUCUUAACUUCAAGAGAUUGAUGCUUGGGAUGACAACUACCUGAGAUACAGCAGGGUGAUAACAUCACCCAUCUCCUCUCUUUCAUCUAAUACCCUUGAAUUUUUGAGCUGUUGAAUUUUUGAGGAAGCUGGAACCAACUGGGUAAUCAAAAGUCCUUUGUUGGUUUGACUUUUGUUCUUUCGAUUCAUUUUGUCGACUAAUAAUGGAGCUUUAGAUUUGAAAGAACACAUAUGUUAAAUGGAAGAUACAUAAACAAUCACUUGUUCCAACAUUUAUUGUAGCUAUAUGUGCACAAAAACUCACUGUCUUUUCAUUUUACUUCUCUGUUUUUCCUUCAGAAGACUUCGAGGUAGGUGGUAUUCAUUU